GCCGAGGUGGCGGAACUGGCAGACGCGCAUGGCUUAGGACCAUGUGUCCUUUAACAAGACGUGGGAGUUCAAAUCUCCCCCUCGGCACCA
Molecule: transfer RNA, 90 nt
Filed under: bacterium
Lineage: Bacteria
Description: tRNA-Leu
Rfam family: tRNA
About the family: Transfer RNA (tRNA) molecules are approximately 80 nucleotides in length. Their secondary structure includes four short double-helical elements and three loops (D, anti-codon, and T loops).
Source: RNAcentral